Potamilus streckersoni is the source of this 73-nucleotide non-coding RNA. NCBI's taxonomy places the organism in Eukaryota, Metazoa, Mollusca, Bivalvia, Unionida, Unionidae. The record is from the annotation of a GenBank genome assembly.
GCUUCGGUGGCCUAGUGGUUAGAGUGUCCACCUCAGAUGCGGGAGGUCGUGGGUUCGAUCCCCGGUUGAGUCA